UAAAUUUCAAAUACCCUAAUCUCCCAAAUCUUACAUUAACAAACCCUAAUCUCAGCUUUAGAAAGCCUCCACCAGCUCCAUCGGGUCGAUUGAAAGAAAGUGUGGCCUUGAGGGGCAUAAUGGCAGGACUUGUGUAAGACAUGCUGCAGACGCCACUACUGAACCAAUGAGUGCUCAACUACUACUAACAUAAUACCUGAGGUUGUUGGUGGAGCUUUGAGGUCUAUAGGUGCUGUUGCAGGGGUUAGGUCAAAUGUUAGAGGAACAACGUCAAUGAACAAAGAGUGAAGAUGCAGGUGUAGUAGUUGAGGGCUGUUGGAUGACUUAAGUGGUUGCUUUUGUAUUCUUAGUGAGUUUUUGUUGAUGUAUGCUUAAUGAUCUGGGAUCGUGCUUCUGCUGAAGACUGUUUUAAUGAUUUGAGACUGUUAUGUUUGAUGUAAUUCAAUGAUGUAUUGUGUAA
Molecule: long non-coding RNA, 460 nt
Organism: Tripterygium wilfordii
Lineage: Eukaryota; Viridiplantae; Streptophyta; Magnoliopsida; Celastrales; Celastraceae
Exons: 2
Source: RefSeq, a predicted model, not a curated record